Molecule: small nuclear RNA, 90 nt
Filed under: Spalax microphthalmus (greater blind mole rat)
Lineage: Eukaryota; Metazoa; Chordata; Mammalia; Rodentia; Spalacidae
Description: 4.5S RNA(H) variant 4
Source: RNAcentral
GCCGGUAGUGGUGGCGCAUGCCGGUAGGAUAUGCUGAAGAGGCAGAGGCAGGUGGAUCUGGAGUUCGAGGCCAGCUUGGGCUACACAUUU